Molecule: long non-coding RNA, 560 nt
Filed under: Medicago truncatula (barrel medic)
Lineage: Eukaryota; Viridiplantae; Streptophyta; Magnoliopsida; Fabales; Fabaceae
Description: lncRNA gene2278
Source: RNAcentral
UGAUCGAACCCUUUCUCUUUCGUCUGAGAACGCGAAUCUUCUCCCAACCAAAGCAAGCGACCGAACAUUACAUCCACCACCACACCACCGCUGGUGAGCCGCGACCACUCUCCUCCUUCUCCAUCCAUCACCACUGCAUACUCCUCCAUCUUCUGUUUUGAUUCUUUAGUUUAGAGACAUCUCUCUCCACAACAAACCCUAAUUGUUGUAACUUAAGCCAUUCGAAAAUCUCAAGAGCUUCAAUAGCGUUGAACCCAUUCAAAAAUAUGGUGCUUAAGUCUUCUUCCCAAUCUCACCACCAUGAAUAAUGAUGAUAUCAAUGAAAAUUUUGAAGAUUUGGAAGAACAAGAUGAAAAGAUAUAGAUGUCUGUGUUUAUAUAUAUAUCAAAGAUGUUAAUUGUGAUCAAAGAUAAUCUUAAUCUAUUCAUUAAAGAUUAACAAAACAAUAUAUUUUUAUAUAUAUUUAACAAGUAUUUCAUUUUGUUAUAUAGUUGUUUAAUUCGAGAUAUUACAUGUAAAAAAUUGCAUGAAUAUUAUUGUUUAAGUUAAUUUAUAAUUAU